This 666-nucleotide ribosomal RNA is filed under the name Leuconostoc mesenteroides. RNAcentral's name for it is "bacterial SSU rRNA". It matches the Rfam family "Bacterial small subunit ribosomal RNA", at positions 67 to 719 of the family's 1533-position model. The record is from RNAcentral. Lineage: Bacteria; Bacillati; Bacillota; Bacilli; Lactobacillales; Lactobacillaceae.
CAGCGAAAGGUGCUUGCACCUUUCAAGUGAGUGGCGAACGGGUGAGUAACACGUGGACAACCUGCCUCAAGGCUGGGGAUAACAUUUGGAAACAGAUGCUAAUACCGAAUAAAACUUAGUGUCGCAUGACAAAAAGUUAAAAGGCGCUUCGGCGUCACCUAGAGAUGGAUCCGCGGUGCAUUAGUUAGUUGGUGGGGUAAAGGCCUACCAAGACAAUGAUGCAUAGCCGAGUUGAGAGACUGAUCGGCCACAUUGGGACUGAGACACGGCCCAAACUCCUACGGGAGGCUGCAGUAGGGAAUCUUCCACAAUGGGCGAAAGCCUGAUGGAGCAACGCCGCGUGUGUGAUGAAGGCUUUCGGGUCGUAAAGCACUGUUGUAUGGGAAGAACAGCUAGAAUAGGAAAUGAUUUUAGUUUGACGGUACCAUACCAGAAAGGGACGGCUAAAUACGUGCCAGCAGCCGCGGUAAUACGUAUGUCCCGAGCGUUAUCCGGAUUUAUUGGGCGUAAAGCGAGCGCAGACGGUUUAUUAAGUCUGAUGUGAAAGCCCGGAGCUCAACUCCGGAAUGGCAUUGGAAACUGGUUAACUUGAGUGCAGUAGAGGUAAGUGGAACUCCAUGUGUAGCGGUGGAAUGCGUAGAUAUAUGGAAGAACACCAGUGGCGAA